Molecule: small RNA, 32 nt
Filed under: Arabidopsis thaliana (thale cress)
Lineage: Eukaryota; Viridiplantae; Streptophyta; Magnoliopsida; Brassicales; Brassicaceae
Description: ATSL129950
Source: RNAcentral
UUUCUUCUUCUUCUUCUUCUUCUUCUUUCUUG